This is a long non-coding RNA of Trifolium pratense (red clover), 2130 nucleotides long. RefSeq lists it as uncharacterized. The record is from RefSeq and is a predicted model, not a curated record. The transcript is spliced from 2 exons. Lineage: Eukaryota; Viridiplantae; Streptophyta; Magnoliopsida; Fabales; Fabaceae.
UAUUGAUACACUUAUUUUUAUAAUUUUUGAUUUUAGGCUUUGAGUCAUCAUUUCUUACUCAAAAUUAAGAACUGAAAUGUGCGGUUGAUGCUGUUCACAUAUGUCCCUUUGGAAUAUUUUUAAAAGGUAUGUACCCUUUAAUUUUAUUUGUUUUAUUUGAGUUUUUCUAAUUCUGUCACUAUUUAUAUGUCAAUUGUAUGACUUAGAUUUUGCCACAUCUCUUUUCAUUCAAUCCUUUGUGUGUUUUGAAAUAGAUUUAUAUGUUGUGCGGAUAUUACUCCUAUAUAUAUAAAUCUUAGAUAGUUAUUUUGUUACUCAUGUAAACUAUAAUCCUUAAACCAAUAAUAUUUCUUCAUUUAACCACAUCAGUCACUUACAAUGCUACAUCACUUCUCUUUAGAAAAUAAAUCUUUUGAAUCUCGGAUUCUCUGUUUUAUUAUUAUUAUUAUUUUGAUAAUAUUCAAUGCUUCAGUUUUAUGCAAUUGUAAAAUAAAAACAAUCGCAUCACACUCGUGCAUCGCACGGGUAAGGGUCUAGUUGCUUAUAAGCGCGACAUAUUAAUUAGAUAUUGCAACUCUUAAGUGCUAUAAACUAGUUAAUUAACUUAAAAAAAUACAUGAAAUUUGUCAAUACAAAGAUAAAUAUCACAUUCCAAAACUAAUUAAUUCUCUUUCUUUCAUUGUGCAAGAUAAAACAAUAUUUGCUCGACUCAUAUAAUUUCCACAUUUGAUAUGCAUUACUUUUAUAUACUAUAUAUUGUCCAGCAAAAUAAGCCCGUAAAUAAAUGUGUUGUCACGUCUAAAAUAUGUAAAAUAAACUAAUUAUUUUCAACAUAUUUUUUUUUUCACUACCAGUAUACGGCCUAUUGAAAUGUCUAAUAUAGUUUGGGGUCAGUUCUGACAUCAAAUGAUUUCAUCCUCCUCUCGAUCACAGUUGCGUGAAAUCAUACUGUAAUCUUUCAUACAAAGUUCAACGCUAAUCACCACUAAACCAAUUAACAAUUGAUAAUUUUUUUCAACAUUUGUUACUGUUGUUUGUCUCGUACAUAUGAAUUUUGUCCCUAUCUAUUACACAAGGUUUUAUAUUCUCUUCUCCUCCUCUAACCCUAUCUGUCACCACUUUCUCUCUUCUUCUUGAUCUAUUGGAGAGGGGUGAUUUAUGGUCAAAUUAGACCUAAAAUUAAAUCACCCCUCCAACUUGAUUUUCUUUCUACUUUAAUUAAAUAAGUGCGAUUUCCACAUAUAUUUUAUAUUUAUUUCGUUUGUUUUUGUGAUUUCAUCAUCAUUUGUUUUGAUUUUCCGUCUUAGUGCCUUGUAUUUUGUUUUCCCGUCUUAGUGCUGACUAUUGUUGUCAUGUCUUAGUUCGGAGUAUUGUUGUCCCGUCUUGGUGCGGUGUACGUUCAUUUGUUUCAGGUUGAAGGAUUAAUGUUGAUCCAGUGCAUAUAUCCAAUCAAUUAUGACUUUUGUGCAUCAACACUUCAGAUUCUGAGACAUAGAUAUUCUGAAAACUUCAAUAUAGUCAAAUAUGUCGUUUUAUGCAAUAUGUCAUUUUAUGCUAUUAACACGGAUGUUGUGAAUUUGUCCGCAGAUUCAUUCUUUUUGUUUUUAGCGACUUUGAAUUUGUAUUGCAUCGAUGUACUCUUACCAAUUUGAAUGAAUGAAUAUCUUUUAUUUAGUAAAAAAAAAAAAUCAAAGCUUUUAUGUGAUGUUUAAGUGAUCAAUUGAGCGACAUUUAACAUUACUUUUAAUUUUAUAAAUGGCUUCUUGUGAUUUCAAAGAGCUAAAAAUUAUUUAAGUCAAAAAAGCAUGAAAUUUGUACUUAUAAAGUGAUAAAAAAAAAUUUUGUUUAUUACAAGCAAAAGAGAAAAAAAAAAUAUGGCUCAAACUCUCAUGUUUUCUUAUGCAUUGAUCGUCUUUCUUUCCCUAUUUCUUGUUGUAAUCGGUAUAAGUGAAACUAAUCCUUUUGGUCUUAGUGGAGCUCCUCUCAAGACUAAACAUGAAUGCGAAAAGGACGAGGAUUGUCCAAUAAUGUUAUAUUAUCUUUAUGCUUGGUGUGUUCAGAAAUUAUGUGAGUACCAUUGAUUAAGUUUAAAAAUAAUAAUUUUGUCAAAAAAUAAAGUUAAUUUAAAAA